GUGUCAGCCGCCGCGGUAAUACGAAGGUCCCAAGCGUUGUUCGGAAUCACUGGGCGUAAAGGGAGCGUAGGCUGUGAGGUAAGUCGGGUGUGAAAUCCCGGGGCUCAACCCCGGAACUGCACUCGAUACUGCUUUACUAGAGGACUGGAGAGGAGAUUGGAAUUCUCGGUGUAGCAGUGAAAUGCGUAGAUAUCGAGAGGAACACCUGUGGCGAAAGCGAAUCUCUGGACAGUUCCUGACGCUGAGGCUCGAAGGCUAGGGUAGCGAAAGGGAUUAGAUACCCGCGUAGUCC
This 292-nucleotide ribosomal RNA is filed under the name uncultured bacterium. RNAcentral describes it as "partial 16S ribosomal RNA". It matches the Rfam family "Bacterial small subunit ribosomal RNA", at positions 505 to 796 of the family's 1533-position model. The record is from RNAcentral.